GAGUCUUCGGUAAUGGACGGG
Molecule: microRNA, 21 nt
Filed under: Macaca mulatta (Rhesus monkey)
Lineage: Eukaryota; Metazoa; Chordata; Mammalia; Primates; Cercopithecidae
Description: Mml-Mir-934_3p (mature (guide))
Source: RNAcentral